RNAcentral lists this ribosomal RNA (343 nucleotides) under Rodentibacter caecimuris. RNAcentral describes it as "bacterial SSU rRNA". It matches the Rfam family "Bacterial small subunit ribosomal RNA", at positions 1193 to 1533 of the family's 1533-position model. The record is from RNAcentral. Lineage: Bacteria; Pseudomonadati; Pseudomonadota; Gammaproteobacteria; Pasteurellales; Pasteurellaceae.
UCAUGGCCCUUACGAGUAGGGCUACACACGUGCUACAAUGGCGUAUACAGAGGGAGGCGAAGCAGCGAUGUGGAGCGAAUCUCACAAAGUACGUCUAAGUCCGGAUUGGAGUCUGCAACUCGACUCCAUGAAGUCGGAAUCGCUAGUAAUCGCGAAUCAGAAUGUUGCGGUGAAUACGUUCCCGGGCCUUGUACACACCGCCCGUCACACCAUGGGAGUGGGUUGUACCAGAAGUAGAUAGCUUAACCGCGAGGGGGGCGUUUACCACGGUAUGAUUCAUGACUGGGGUGAAGUCGUAACAAGGUAACCGUAGGGGAACCUGCGGUUGGAUCACCUCCUUACC